GGUAUUUCAUUAAUCCCCAGUCCAAGGUUCCUUGGGUUCUUUCACAAAAUGUGAGCUUCAGCAGGGUCAUGGUCCUUUCAUGUAUCUCACGCAAGGGCCUGAUCCUACAAGGUACUGAGCCUCUUCUGCUACCCAGAAAGAGUUUCAGCCCCUGGCUGCACAGGAAACCUUUCAAAAACAGAUCUGAAAAGAGAGUCAGCACAGAGCUCGGAAAAUGAGUCCUAGGAUUCAUGUGCUGGAUGCUGGUGAAAAUGCUUUAGAGGAAAAGUUCCAAAAAGAAGGAGACAGCAACCUCUGGGGAAAAAAUAAAAGAUAUAUAAUGAUCAUUGUGGUUCAGAUUCUGAUCAGCUCAGCAGGAACCUCCAGAAUCAGGCAGCCGGAGGAAAAGGUGGAAGCAAGGCAGCCCGUUUUUGUUGGUUUCCUGGAAAUAACAGCAUCCCUCUAUCUUCCUCUCCUUGAUAUAGGGCAUCCUGAAACAGGAUUAACAGAUGUUCCAGACUUAGAAGAUAUUUUUCAGGACUGGCUGAUCUUCUCAGAUCCUCAAAUGUAGGCGUUUCUUGGACAGAACAUCAUAUUCAUGGAGACAGUAAAAACAGUAUCUCAUAGCUGUUUUAUGUCAGCAGACAAGAUUACAUGCACAAACUCAGAAUUUGGAAGAUGAAAUUGCUUGCAAAUGGAAUUUGACUGAGAAAUCUGGGACGGUGCUCUUUACUUCCAAUCUCAAAUUUGUGAAAGGUAUUUUGGGCUGUUUAAUGAUAAAGACAAUAGAUCUUUUACAUAUUAUAUAUGUAUACAUAUAUACA
Molecule: long non-coding RNA, 803 nt
Filed under: Dromaius novaehollandiae (emu)
Lineage: Eukaryota; Metazoa; Chordata; Aves; Casuariiformes; Dromaiidae
Description: lncRNA (ENSDNVG00000004569.1)
Source: RNAcentral